CGGGGCGUAGCGCAGCCUGGUAGCGCACCUGCUUUGGGAGCAGGGGGUCGCUGGUUCGAAUCCAGCCGCCCCGACCA
Molecule: transfer RNA, 77 nt
Filed under: Truepera sp.
Lineage: Bacteria; Thermotogati; Deinococcota; Deinococci; Trueperales; Trueperaceae
Description: tRNA-Pro
Rfam family: tRNA
About the family: Transfer RNA (tRNA) molecules are approximately 80 nucleotides in length. Their secondary structure includes four short double-helical elements and three loops (D, anti-codon, and T loops). Further hydrogen bonds mediate the characteristic L-shaped molecular structure. tRNAs have two regions of fundamental functional importance: the anti-codon, which is responsible for specific mRNA codon recognition, and the 3' end, to which the tRNAs corresponding amino acid is attached (by aminoacyl-tRNA synthetases). tRNAs cope with the degeneracy of the genetic code in two manners: having more than one tRNA (with a specific anti-codon) for a particular amino acid; and 'wobble' base-pairing, i.e. permitting non-standard base-pairing at the 3rd anti-codon position.
Source: RNAcentral